This is a long non-coding RNA of Echinops telfairi (small Madagascar hedgehog), 247 nucleotides long. RefSeq lists it as uncharacterized. The record is from RefSeq and is a predicted model, not a curated record. Lineage: Eukaryota; Metazoa; Chordata; Mammalia; Afrosoricida; Tenrecidae. The transcript is spliced from 3 exons.
GGAAAUCACUUUGGACUGCUCAGAGAACUGGGGACCCCGCUGUCCAGUGUUCCAGAUGCCUGACAGAGAUGGCUUUCAGAUUUCUGCCUGCUUCCCCUCCCCACAGUCCUCCAGCAGAAGUAAGCAGAGUUAGUUUCCCACAUAAUGGACAUGGAGAGGUCACUGCAGGAGCAGUUACAGGGAAAAGUUCAAAGCCCACUGCCAUCGCAUCAAUUUCAACUCAAAGCGACCCUCUACAAGAUUGCUG